Molecule: ribosomal RNA, 248 nt
Filed under: uncultured bacterium
Lineage: Bacteria
Description: partial 16S ribosomal RNA
Rfam family: Bacterial small subunit ribosomal RNA
Source: RNAcentral
UACGUAGGCAGCAAGCGUUGUUCGGAGUUACUGGGCGUAAAGAGUGCGUAGGCGGUUCGUAAGUUUGGUGUGAAAUCUCCCGGCUUAACUGGGAGGGUGCGCCGAAACUGCGGGGCUGGAGUGUGGGAGAGGUAAGCGGAAUCCUGGUGUAGCGGUGAAAUGCGUAGAUAUCAGGAGGAACACCGGCGGUGUAGACGGCUUACUGGACCAUGACUGACGCUGAGGCACGAAAGCGUGGGAGCAACAGG